RNAcentral lists this ribosomal RNA (263 nucleotides) under uncultured archaeon. RNAcentral's name for it is "partial 16S ribosomal RNA". It matches the Rfam family "Archaeal small subunit ribosomal RNA", at positions 748 to 1008 of the family's 1478-position model. The record is from RNAcentral.
CAGCCGUAAACUAUGCGCGUUAGGUGUACUGGUGACCACGAGUCACCGGGGUGCCGAAGGGAAACCGUGAAACGUGCCGCCUGGGAAGUACGGUCGCAAGGCUGAAACUUAAAGGAAUUGGCGGGGGAGGCACCACAACGGGUGGGAGCCUGCGGUUUAAUUGGACUCAACGCCGGAAAUCUCACCGGAUAGGACAGACAUAUGAUAGUCGGGCUGAAGACUCUACUUGAUGAUCUGAGAGGUGGUGCAUGGCGUCAGUGACU